RNAcentral lists this ribosomal RNA (468 nucleotides) under uncultured bacterium. Its description in RNAcentral is "partial 16S ribosomal RNA". It matches the Rfam family "Bacterial small subunit ribosomal RNA", at positions 28 to 507 of the family's 1533-position model. The record is from RNAcentral.
GACGAACGCUGGCGGCGUGCUUAACACAUGCAAGUCGAACGGAAAGGCCCUGCUUUUGUGGGGUGCUCGAGUGGCGCACGGGUGAGUAACACGUGAGUAACCUGCCCUUGACUUUGGGAUAACUUCAGGAAACUGGGGCUAAUACCGGAUAGGAUCUCCUGCUGCAUGGGGGGGGUUGGAAAGUUUCGGCGGUUGGGGAUGGACUCGCGGCUUAUCCGCUUGUUGGUGGGGUAGGGGCUUACCAAGGCUUUGACGGGUAGCCGGCCUGAGAGGGUGACCGGCCACAUUGGGACUGAGAGACGGCCCAGACUCCUACGGGAGGCAGCAGUGGGGAAUAUUGCACAAUGGGCGGAAGCCUGAUGCAGCAACGCCGCGUGCGGGAUGACGGCCUUCGGGUGGUAAACCGCUUUCGCCUGUGACGAAGAGUGAGUGACGGUAAUGGGUAAAGAAGCACCGGCUAACUACGUG